Molecule: ribosomal RNA, 565 nt
Filed under: Xenopus allofraseri (false Fraser's clawed frog)
Lineage: Eukaryota; Metazoa; Chordata; Amphibia; Anura; Pipidae
Description: partial 16S ribosomal RNA
Rfam family: Bacterial large subunit ribosomal RNA
Source: RNAcentral
UAACCAUGUAUAAGAGGUCCAGCCUGCCCAGUGACUAUAUGUUCAACGGCCGCGGUAUUCUGACCGUGCAAAGGUAGCGUAAUCACUUGUCUUUUAAAUAAAGACUGGUAUGAACGGCACCACGAAGGUUCAACUGUCUCCUGCAUCCAAUCCAUUAAACUGACCUCCCCGUGCAGAGGCGGGGAUAUAACCAUAAGACGAGAAGACCCUAUGGAGCUUUAAACUAAAGGCAACUGCCAAACCAUCAAACCCACAAGGAUAAACAAUAAAACAAGCAGAAAUUGACCUAAAGUUUUCGGUUGGGGCGACCAUGGAGAAUAAAAAAUCCUCCUUGAAGAAUAGGGCUUACAACCCUUAACCAAGAACCACUAUUCUAAGUAACAAAAUUUAUGACUGCAAUUGAUCCAGUCCUACUGAUCAACGAACCAAGUUACCCUAGGGAUAACAGCGCAAUCCAUUUCAAAAGUUCCUAUCGACAAAUGGGUUUACGACCUCGAUGUUGGAUCAGGGCAUCCCAGUGGUGCAGCCGCUACUAAAGGUUCGUUUGUUCAACGAUUAAAGCCCU